AUACAAAUGACAGCAAAAACGUAUUUGAUGACAGUUGACAAAUUCACAAGUGACAAUAAUUGACAAAUUAAAAUUUAACACUUAAGAAAAUUUAAAUUUCAAAUGACGCAAUGACGAUGACGGACACGGAAAAAUAAACAGAAAAAGGAAAAGCCGAUUUUCGAUCACUCAGUUACUGCCAUAGAGGUAAAAAACCCGAAAUAGGUAAAAAUAAAAGUAACAGUGUAACCACGAGCCGUAUUGUCCAGUGUGACCGGCACCCGUUGUCAGGUGUAAUAUUGCGAUAAUUACUAUAACAAUUUAAGCAAUAAUAAAAUACUAAAAUCUUUUAGUUGAAAUUACCAAAAUAUAGGUAAAAAAGUCAAAAGUGGUUGAAGUAUACUGUUAUCCUUUGUGAUUGAAAUAAUGUAAUACCUUACACCACUAUUUCUAAUUCAGGAACCGUCGCUUUUACUUCCCAAAUCUGAGUCUAGAUUUAAAUGAACAAAGUUUAACGAUUGUCGUCCACUGACAUCGUUCAGUGUACUUUAAGCGGUACACGACUUAUACGCUGAGUGUGAGAAAGACGAGUGGGGCCGACUGUUGCCUUUACAGCACGGCCAUUAGGAACGCCCACAACCAUGGCACACCAUAUUCAGAUCGUGUCUUGUACACUGAACGUAAUCGGUUUGUUUGCCAAAUCAACGAUGGUGUUGAUUGUCUUGCUGGCCGACUGCAGCAAAACUACGAUACAAGCCGCGUACGAGGUGAACAAGAACACCGCACAAAGGAACAGCGUGAACGUGGCAAUUCGCGCAGGUACCUUGUUGACAAAUAGCAGCAAAGACUAAGGUGACCGUAUCUAGUGCGAACGAGAGUUUCAUUUCUACGCCAUGUAACCAAU
Aphis gossypii (cotton aphid) is the source of this 883-nucleotide long non-coding RNA. RefSeq lists it as uncharacterized. The record is from RefSeq and is a predicted model, not a curated record. NCBI's taxonomy places the organism in Eukaryota, Metazoa, Arthropoda, Insecta, Hemiptera, Aphididae. The transcript is spliced from 3 exons.